Molecule: ribosomal RNA, 393 nt
Filed under: uncultured bacterium
Lineage: Bacteria
Description: partial 16S ribosomal RNA
Rfam family: Bacterial small subunit ribosomal RNA
Source: RNAcentral
AUACGGAGGAUGCAAGCGUUAUCCGGAUUUAUUGGGCUUAAAGGGUGCGUAGGCGGUUUGCUAAGCGGGAGGUGAAAUGCCGGCGCUCAACGUCGGAAGUGCCUCCCGAACUGGUGGACUGGAAUGACUCUGCCGUGGGCGGAAUGUGUAGUGGAGCGGGGAAAUGCUUAGAGAUUACACAGAACACCGAUUGCGAAGGCAUCUCACGAAGGGUUGAUUGACGCUGAGGCACGAAAGCGUGGGGAUCAAACAGGAUUAGAUACCCUGGUAGUCCACGCAGUAAACGAUGAUGGCUAACCGCUGGUUUAUUCGGAUCAGUGGCCAAGCGAAAGCGAUAAGCCAUCCACCUGGGGAGUACGACCGCAAGGUUGAAACUCAAAUGAAUUGGCGGGG